GACGAACGCUGGCGGCGUGCUUAACACAUGCAAGUCGAGCGGUAAGGCCCUUUCGGGGGUACACGAGCGGCGAACGGGUGAGUAACACGUGGGUGACCUGCCCUCAGCUCUGGGAUAAGCCUGGGAAACCGGGUCUAAUACUGGAUAUGACUCCAUGACGCAUGUUGUGGGGUGGAAAGCCUUGUGCGGCUGAGGAUGGGCCCGCGGCCUAUCAGCUUGUUGGUGGGGUGANGGCCUGCCAAGGCGACGACGGGUAGCCGGCCUGAGAGGGCGACCGGCCACACUGGGACUGAGACACGGCCCAGACUCCUACGGGAGGCAGCAGUGGGGAAUCUUGCGCAAUGGGCGAAAGCCUGACGCAGCGACGCCGCGUGAGGGAUGACGGCCU
This 388-nucleotide ribosomal RNA is filed under the name uncultured bacterium. RNAcentral describes it as "bacterial SSU rRNA". It matches the Rfam family "Bacterial small subunit ribosomal RNA", at positions 28 to 417 of the family's 1533-position model. The record is from RNAcentral.